AGAGUAUAAAAGAGACUGCGACACAUCGAAGCUCACUCCUUCACACAAGUAUCUUUGUGUCUGGAUCACAACCUGAUUUCUUAGAGAACUGUUCAACAAUACCGUCAUCAAAAUGAAACAACUUGUUCUACUGUGUCUGGUUUUGCUGAUCGCUUUGAACGUUGAAGCUCGUCAUCGUUUCCAAGAAGAUGAGGAUGCAUUUUGGAAGUACUUCAAUAUUGAAAAGCGAUGCGUUGAUAAAGGUGGCUCAUGCUCCAAAAGCUCAGACUGCUGCCAUACCUAUGUCUGCUCAAAGGGCCCUGAUCUCAAGAAGACAUGUUUUUACGGCUAGAUUAUGAAUCCAACUGCCCACUUUGUUAAUAAUAAAUAAUCAUAACUAAAAAAGAUUAAAACCGCUUGUAAGUUUAAACCACUUUUAAGAUUAAAACCACUUUUAAGAUCUUCCUGA
This is a long non-coding RNA of Exaiptasia diaphana, 448 nucleotides long. RefSeq lists it as uncharacterized. The record is from RefSeq and is a predicted model, not a curated record. The transcript is spliced from 2 exons. NCBI's taxonomy places the organism in Eukaryota, Metazoa, Cnidaria, Anthozoa, Actiniaria, Aiptasiidae.